RNAcentral lists this long non-coding RNA (381 nucleotides) under Manihot esculenta (cassava). RNAcentral describes it as "long non-coding RNA (MESC_LNC005484)". The record is from RNAcentral. Lineage: Eukaryota; Viridiplantae; Streptophyta; Magnoliopsida; Malpighiales; Euphorbiaceae.
AUUUGUUCAUUUAACCGUUGCAUGUCCCAAUUCGUAAGUGUAGUUGAAGUAAGUUCUCUGAAGAAAUUGCUAAGCUCUGUUAUUGGUUGCCAAACAUUAUUCGGUAACAAUUCUCUGAGAGCUAUAGGAAGAAUUCGUUGCAAGAAAACAUGACAGUCGUGGCUUUUCAUACCAAAAAGUCUUAGCUUCCGACUAUCAACACAUCUCCCUAGAUUAGAAACAUAUCCAUCAGGGAAUUUCAGUGUUUUAAGCCAAUCACACAGUAUCAUCUUUGAUUGCUUGUCUAAACAAUAACUUGCUUUUGGAUAUUUUUCGCUAAUUAGAUCUUUCUUCAAUUCUGGUCUCUUGCAUAUUUCAUUUAAAUCUUCCCUUGAUUUUAUA